Molecule: ribosomal RNA, 468 nt
Filed under: uncultured bacterium
Lineage: Bacteria
Description: partial 16S ribosomal RNA
Rfam family: Bacterial small subunit ribosomal RNA
Source: RNAcentral
GACGAACGCUGGCGGCGUGCUUAACACAUGCAAGUCGAACGGAAAGACCCUGCUUUUGUGGGUUGCUCGAGUGCCGAACGGGUGAGUAACACAUGAGUAACCUGCCCUUGACUUUGGGAUAACUUCAGGAAACUGGGGCUAAUACCGGAUAGGAGCUCCUGCUGCAUGGUGGGGGAUGGAAAGUUUCGGCGGUUGGGGAUGGACUGGCGGCUUAUCAGCUUGUUGGUGGGGUAGUGGCUUACCAAGCCUUUGACGGGUAGCCGGCCUGAGAGGGGUAACGGGCACAUGGGGACUGAGAGACGGCCCAGACGCAUACGGGAGGCAGCAGUGGGGAAUAUGGCGCAAUGGGCGGAAGCGUGAGACAGCAACGCCGCGUGCGGGAUGACGGCCUUCGAGGUGAAAACCGCUUUCGACUGUGACGAAGCGUGAGUGACGGUAAUGGGUAAAGAAGCACCGGCUAACUACGUG